Molecule: RNase P RNA, 318 nt
Filed under: Burkholderiales bacterium RIFCSPLOWO2_12_FULL_67_210
Lineage: Bacteria; Pseudomonadati; Pseudomonadota; Betaproteobacteria; Burkholderiales
Description: partial RNase P RNA component class A
Rfam family: Bacterial RNase P class A
About the family: Ribonuclease P (RNase P) is a ubiquitous endoribonuclease, found in archaea, bacteria and eukarya as well as chloroplasts and mitochondria. Its best characterised activity is the generation of mature 5'-ends of tRNAs by cleaving the 5'-leader elements of precursor-tRNAs.
Source: RNAcentral
GAAGCGCGCCAGGCCGUCGCUGGCACAGCCCGCAAGGGAACCCGAAAGGGAGUGCUGGAGGAACGUCCGGACUGCACAGGACAGCGUAGGAGGUAACACCUCUCCACCGACAAGCCAGAAGGGUUCGCCUGGAUGGCCCUAAGGUGAGGAUCAGAGCAACAGAGACGAGUCACCUGUGGUGCCGCAGCGUAGGCGAAAGCCGAAGCUACGAGCAACCAAGGUGGGUGAAACGGGCAAUCUCUACGCGCAGCAAUACCAAAUAGGCCAGCGUUGACGUGGUUCCGCGGAGCUGGCGGGUAGGUAGCACCGAGCCGAUUG